Molecule: unclassified non-coding RNA, 549 nt
Filed under: Trichoderma sp. TAMA 178
Lineage: Eukaryota; Fungi; Ascomycota; Sordariomycetes; Hypocreales; Hypocreaceae
Also listed under: 1 other name
Description: partial contains 18S rRNA, ITS1, 5.8S rRNA, ITS2 and 28S RNA
Rfam family: 5.8S ribosomal RNA (bases 190-343)
Source: RNAcentral
CAUUACCGAGUUUACAACUCCCAAACCCAAUGUGAACCAUACCAAACUGUUGCCUCGGCGGGGUCACGCCCCGGGUGCGUCGCAGCCCCGGAACCAGGCGCCCGCCGGAGGGACCAACCAAACUCUUUCUGUAGUCCCCUCGCGGACGUUAUUUCUUACAGCUCUGAGCAAAAAUUCAAAAUGAAUCAAAACUUUCAACAACGGAUCUCUUGGUUCUGGCAUCGAUGAAGAACGCAGCGAAAUGCGAUAAGUAAUGUGAAUUGCAGAAUUCAGUGAAUCAUCGAAUCUUUGAACGCACAUUGCGCCCGCCAGUAUUCUGGCGGGCAUGCCUGUCCGAGCGUCAUUUCAACCCUCGAACCCCUCCGGGGGGUCGGCGUUGGGGAUCGGGGACCCCUAAGACGGGAUCCCGGCCCCGAAAUACAGUGGCGGUCUCGCCGCAGCCUCUCCUGCGCAGUAGUUUGCACAACUCGCACCGGGAGCGCGGCGCGUCCACGUCCGUAAAACACCCAACUUCUGAAAUGUUGACCUCGGAUCAGGUAGGAAUACCCG